Molecule: long non-coding RNA, 3144 nt
Organism: Panicum virgatum (switchgrass)
Lineage: Eukaryota; Viridiplantae; Streptophyta; Magnoliopsida; Poales; Poaceae
Exons: 2
Source: RefSeq, a predicted model, not a curated record
ACUCCGCCUAUGCAACUUGAAGUAACACUUAAUUUCGCAUAGCUGGUCCCAAGCCCAGAAAAAAAGGAGGGGCUACCCAUUCACAUUGCUGAGAUGUUGUAACACUUUAACUGUUUGGUCAUAUGGUUUUGUUCCCAUCGUUCUUAUGAUUUUAAGCCCAUCGGUCAGUUCCACGACAAAAAUAUUCUCAGAUUUGAAUAGUGCUGCAUCCUAGGAACAAAGAUAGUCAUAGACUAUAGGUUUUGAUGGUGCCUUUAUGAAAAUACGAAUCUGUUGUGUGAGAAAUUUUUUUUCUUUUCGUUUUUAGUAUAUUACAGUAAUGCUGAACUUUUGAUUUUCCCAUGGCUAUCUUAGGAUGCUCUUACUUUUAGUGGUAGAUAGAAAAUUAUUAAACCGUUUCAAGUGUCACAAGACCUCAUCAUCAAGCUAAGCUACCUCAUUAUUAACUCGUCAGCUUCAGUCGUGGAGUAUUCUCGCCACCUACCGUUGAUUUGCUUUCAAGUUUUGGAGCUGUGGCCUCACCACAUAAAUAUUCAGUGGGUUUCUCUAGAGGCGCCCCCUUCCCUAGAGGCGCGCAGGGCACAUCUAGGGUUUCUCCUGAGGCCGCCUUCUUCUCCGUGACGGUGCUAGGGUUUGAAAUCAGUGGCGGUGGUGGAACCGGGACAUGCCGCUGCCACCUCCAGGCGGGACGGAUCCAUAGACCUCUGGACCCCGGAGGCUGCCCUCGGCACAGUCAACGACGAUGAGGAGAUGGGAUCCAGCCUCGACGCCCGCCGGUCCAACCUCGGUGGCCAUGGAUCUGGCAAGGUGGGUUGUUCCCUCCUCUACUUCUCCAAUCUCCAGCACACCCCGCUCUUCGUCCCCCAUGAGCCCGGCCCCUCUCAAUCCCCUCCUGCUCCAGGUAUGCCCUCCCUUUCUCUUCCCUUUCUGCUGUGGGUAGGUCCCUGACUAGGUGUGUGAUGCGUCUUGGGUCGUUUCGGUAAUGUGUUCGAUGAUAUGCCUCCGAGGUUAUCCUUGCAUUGGUUUGAUAAAUUGUUAGUUCCCCUUCACAAAUCAGACAAACUCUAGGUAAAAGGCCUCUAGCUCCUCCUUGAUGUGUUGUAUUUAUGCAAAUUGUUCCUGUUCUGAAUAAUCUAGUUCUUACACUUGAUAUGUGAUGAAGAAUUAUUUAUAAGCUCCAGAACAUGCUAUAUGCGAAGGUGUAUAUACUCUAAACCUGUGCUUGUAUAGGCUAUAAAACAAGCAUUUGACCUGUAUUGAAAGUAUUCUCUAUAUGGCUCAAAAAGUUUGGAUGUUCUGUUGAGAACAUUUGUUUGUUGACCGAACAUAUUCUCUAUAUGGCUCAAAAAGUUUGGCAUCUUUCUUAUUCUGAACAUAUUUAUGCAAGUAUGAUCUCUGCAUAUCCAUCUGGUACUUAUCUGAAUUAUAUUGUGGAUCCAUGUCUUAGUUUUUAUUUGGACAUGAGCCUACUGUCAAUAAAGAAAACUGAUAGUAAGGACCCAAUAAUUUUCACUUCUUUUGGUGCCCCUCUGCACUUCAUCCUGAUCUUAAAUUCUGCUUAAUCGUUGAUGCAAUUCAUGCACAAUUGAGCGAAAACUCAUUGAUAACCGUCUCUGUUGCUGAAGAUAUAUCAUAAAACAUGAAUAUAGCUCUAUUCUAGGAAGCAUUAUGUUGCUCUUUCGUUGAUAAUCGUCUUUCUCAAUGCACGUUCAUGGGAUGCAGCUGUAAAAAGCUUUCCCAGGGAACACCAGAUAUAACCCGGUGAUCUUUCUUGUUCCAAAGUUUAUUUUGGUUGCUUGUUUAUAUAUUUUCUUGCACCUAUAUCAGCUUUAUGUGGUAUCAAGAUUAAUUACUAUAUUGCUGCUAUGUUUCUCUUUAUCAUCUUAUUGCAGCUUGGCUUCUGGCAAUUGCUAUGAUGUAUGAUGGUGUAUCUUUGUUAAUCCUUUUUCCAGUAUUGAAUACACUUGGAGCAUGAAUUACCUUCUGAACCUUCUAUCACUUGAGUUUCUUUAUAACAUUUCAUUGCUGGUAGCAUUUGGUGCAGAAAAACUGACAAUUCUGUUUGGUCUACAGGUUAUGGUUAAAAAGGGCCCAUCUUCCCCUCCUUUGUUUGUUCCUGCGUCCCCUCCUCCCUUACUCUGGUGACUAUGUACGACUUAUUUGUUGCUGUCGAUGCCAAUUGUGUGAGAUACAUCUGAGAAAGAUUUUUUUACUAAGCACUUGUGCAUGCCGAUAUACAUCUGAGAACAAAUUUUUUUACUGAGCACUUGUCCAUGCCGAUGAUAAUAGUUUUCGUUCUGCCUAAGAACUUGUUCAAUGCCAAUGAUGAUUUUUCUUAUUUCAUUCUAUAAUUUUGCCGAGGCAUUGGACAUUUUCAAUGAUGUUUUUUGGAUGCUACACUUGAGAUGAGGCAUUGGACAUGUGCAGUGAUGGCUAAUUUUUUUCAUACUAAACAUGAGCAGAGGCAUUGGACAUGUGCAAUGAUGGUUAAUAUUUCUCAUACUAAACUUGAGCUGAGAGAAAAAAUUUCUCAGCUUGAAUAUGUAAGCUAUGCUACUAAUGUUUUUUCUUCUUAUUUGACAAAAUACAGUGGUUGAUACAAUAUCAGCUCUACCGAUGUCCUUGAUAUUCUUUCAGCUCAUUGAUGAACUGUGGAGAUUCUUGCUUCGACAGCUGUGGUCACAUGCUUCAAUCUCGGUUCGUUAGGAAGUGAAGGGCCACAUUUUGGUAUGUUUGUGCAUUUCAUAUUAGCUAGUAGUUGCCUCGUGCUAAUGAGUUUGGAUAUCUUAAUACUUUGAUCAUAAUAGAAAGAGGCUACAUGCAUGGUUAAAUCUGAAAUAGAUGCAUGAUGGAUGCAGUCUAUGCUACUUUGACAAUUGAUCCUCAUCUUGAGGCUAUGUAGAAAGAGGUGAAGCAGCUCAUUGGUAUUGAUAAUUCAAGGGGUGGGGUCAUAUCAAUGGUCUCAUCGCCCUAGUGGGACGAGGUGCCCCACGAGAUGAUGAAGAUUGUAUCAGUUGUUGGAGGGGGAUUGUGCAAGACUACUCUUGCCAAGUAGUGUAUGAUGAGCUUAAACCUCAACUCGAUUGUGGGGCCUCUGUUUUGGUUGGCCGAAAUCCUGGUUUGAAGAAAGUUUUUAUGGAUAUU